CAGGCGUUGGCAAUCCUGUUCCAGCUCCCAUUCCAUGGUGGCCAGCUGGAACAGAUCUGGCCAUAAGUCAUCAGCUCUAGUAAGAUCCAUCAGGGCUUCCCUAGUACUGUGGAUUUCCCAGAGCCAAAACUCUGCCGAGCUGCCAAAAUUAAUGUCUUUCUCAAAGGCCUCCCACAAUGAGCCUGGGCUGUUAUAGUCCUCACCCUCUGGCAUGCUAUCUUCAGCCAUCCACUGGUUGCGCCGGGCUGCGUACCACUCUAGUGCCCGGUAAGCCUCGUCCAGCCACAGCUCCUUCCAGACCAGGUCCUCAAGCCCAGUCACCCACUCCUCCAGGGGCUGUUCUCCCAGGAGAG
Molecule: non-coding RNA, 353 nt
Organism: Pelobates cultripes (western spadefoot toad)
Lineage: Eukaryota; Metazoa; Chordata; Amphibia; Anura; Pelobatidae
Source: the annotation of a GenBank genome assembly